AUGGCGUCGGCGUGCCCCCGCCCCAUCUUCCUCUCCUUCCCCAAAUCCCCGUCCCCGCCGCUCGCCGUCCCCGGAAAGCACCACCCGUCCGCCACCGCCACCGCCUCCCUCUCCCUCUCCACCCGCGCGCGCGCCGCCCCUUCCAGCGCUCCGUCCCCUUCGCCGCCGCCGUCUCCUCCCGCGGACGGAGUCGGCCCCGCGGCGCCGACGCGGGGCGACGUGUACCUGGGGCGGCAGCUCGCGGCCGCGGCCACGGCGGGCGCCCGCGCGCGCGCGCCGGAGGAGGACGCCGAGAGGCGCCGCCGCCGCAAGGAGAAGCGGAAGGCGCUGGCCAAGAAGACGCCCUCCGGCGUCGCCUGCUGCUACGGCUGCGGCGCCCCGCUGCACACCGGCGAGGAGGGCUCCCCCGGCCACGUCGAGCCCGCCACCUACGACCUGAAGAAGAGGCACAACCAACUAAAAACCGUGCUAUGCGGGCGGUGCAAGCUGCUGUCGCACGGGCACAUGGUGACCGCCGUCGGCGGCCAUGGCGGUUAUCCGGGGGGCAAGCAGUUUGUUUCGGCCGAAGAGCUAAGGGAGAAGCUGUCGUACCUCCGCCACGAGAAAGCAUUGAUAGUGAAACUCGUUGACAUAGUUGACUUCAAUGGAAGUUUCCUGGCACGCAUACGCGAUUUUGCCGGCGCCAAUCCCAUUGUGCUUGUGAUAACAAAGGUUGAUCUCCUUCCUAGAGACACAGAUUUGAAUUGUAUCGGCGAUUGGGUCGUGGAGUCUGUUGUUAGGAAGAAACUCAAUGUCCUUAGCGUCCAUUUGACAAGUUCAAAGUCAUUGGUCGGCAUCACUGGUGUUAUAUCAGAGAUUCAGCAGGAAAAGAAGGCCCGAGAUGUAUAUAUACUGGGUUCAGCAAAUGUUGGGAAAUCUGCAUUUAUUAGUGCUAUGCUAAAAACAAUGGCAUAUAAAGAUCCAGUGGCAGCUGCAGCUCAAAAAUACAAGCCAAUACAAUCUGCUGUUCCUGGAACAACCUUAGGUCCUAUUCAGAUCGAAGCAUUUUUAGGAGGAGGGAAAUUAUACGACACACCUGGAGUCCAUCUUCACCAUAGACAGGCAGCAGUUAUCCACGCUGAUGAUCUGCCUUCUCUUGCACCACAAAGUCGACUAAAGGGGCGAUGUUUUCCUGCUAAUGAUACAGAUGUUGGAUUGAGCGGGAAUACGUUGUUCUGGGGGGGACUUGUCCGUAUCGAUGUUGUUAAGGCUCUUCCACGCACACGGCUAACAUUCUAUGGACCAAAGAAGCUAGGUAUUAAUAUGGUCCCCACCACAGAAGCAGAUGAAUUUUACAAGAGAGAAGUCGGAGUUACAUUGACUCCCCCAACUGGUCAGGAGAGAGCUGAAGGAUGGUGUGGGCUUCAGGGUGUUCGCGAAUUGCAGAUAAAAUAUGAAGAGCUUGAUAGGCCUGCUAGUGACAUUGCGAUAUCUGGACUCGGGUGGAUCGCGGUUGAACCACUUGGUGUGCCAUCUAGCGACCCUGAUAGUAGCAUCGAGGAAGAAAAUGGUGGCAGUGGCGAGUUGCAUUUAAGAGUACGUGUACCCAAACCAGUCGAGGUCUUCGUCCGCGCCCCACUGCCAGUCGGUAAAGCGGCGUCGCAGUGGUACCGGUACCAGGAGCUGACGGAGGUAGAAGAGGAGCUGAGACCCAAGUGGCAUUACUGA
Molecule: ribosomal RNA, 1707 nt
Filed under: Triticum aestivum (bread wheat)
Lineage: Eukaryota; Viridiplantae; Streptophyta; Magnoliopsida; Poales; Poaceae
Description: partial small subunit ribosomal RNA
Source: RNAcentral